This 72-nucleotide transfer RNA is filed under the name Streptomyces boncukensis. It matches the Rfam family "tRNA". From Rfam's summary of the family: Transfer RNA (tRNA) molecules are approximately 80 nucleotides in length. Their secondary structure includes four short double-helical elements and three loops (D, anti-codon, and T loops). Further hydrogen bonds mediate the characteristic L-shaped molecular structure. tRNAs have two regions of fundamental functional importance: the anti-codon, which is responsible for specific mRNA codon recognition, and the 3' end, to which the tRNAs corresponding amino acid is attached (by aminoacyl-tRNA synthetases). tRNAs cope with the degeneracy of the genetic code in two manners: having more than one tRNA (with a specific anti-codon) for a particular amino acid; and 'wobble' base-pairing, i.e. permitting non-standard base-pairing at the 3rd anti-codon position. The record is from Rfam by way of RNAcentral. Lineage: Bacteria; Bacillati; Actinomycetota; Actinomycetes; Kitasatosporales; Streptomycetaceae.
GGGCGCGUAGCUCAGCGGCAGAGCGCCUGCCUUACAAGCAGGAUGUCACUGGUUCGAACCCAGUCGUGCCCA